This 338-nucleotide unclassified non-coding RNA is filed under the name soil metagenome. RNAcentral describes it as "partial contains 5.8S ribosomal RNA, internal transcribed spacer 2, and large subunit ribosomal RNA". The stretch from base 1 to 120 matches the Rfam family "5.8S ribosomal RNA", at positions 35 to 154 of the family's 154-position model. The record is from RNAcentral.
GAUGAAGAACGUAGUGAAAUGCGAUAAGUAAUGCGAAUUGCAGAAUUCCGUGAGUCAUCGAAUCUUUGAACGCACAUUGCGCCCUCUGGUAUUCCGGAGGGCAUGCCUGUCUGAGCGUCAUUGUCAACCCUCAAGCUCAGCUUGCUGUUGGGUCCCCGUCGUUGCUUUAACGGCGGACCCGAAAGGUAAUGGCAGAGUCCGUGAGACCCUAGACGCAGCGAGCUUCUAGCACGCGUCUGGACGUUUUUCGGGCUCGGUCUUAACUAGAUGAUAACUUCCGAUUGACCUCAGAUCAGGUAGGGAUACCCGCUGAACUUAAGCAUAUCAAUAAACGGGGA